AGAACAUAUCAUGAAAUAUUUUUGAAGUCGGACGAUGACCAUGAUUCAGUUCGGAAUGCUAGAAAGUAUUUCAAAUUGUCACUGAAUCUUGCCAAAACACUGAAGAAGAAUUUACAAUCGAGCAAGCAUUCUUUUGUGAAGGAGUACAUUGAUGCCUACAACAACAUUGGUAUGCUUGAAGUUGAUCUUGAUAACUUGGAAGAAGCUGAAAGAAUUCUCAGUAAAGGAUUAGAAAUUUGUGA
This 242-nucleotide unclassified non-coding RNA is filed under the name Hevea brasiliensis (rubber tree). Lineage: Eukaryota; Viridiplantae; Streptophyta; Magnoliopsida; Malpighiales; Euphorbiaceae. The record is from RNAcentral.